AAAAACCAUCAUCGAUUUAAAUUGCAAAUAACAUAAAAUUAUAAUCAUUCUUGUAAUUAACAUAAAAAAGAUUCAUAGUCUAACAAUAACAACAAAAUACAUUAUAACUAUUUUGCUUAUAAAAAAAACAUUCUCGCUACUUAAAUUGACUCAUUCUUGCUGCAUUUUUUGAAGCAAAUUCAUCAAUCAAGUCUUCAUAUUGUAUGUCAUCCAAGAGAUUAUUCUCAAUUGCUAUCAAUGCUAAGCCGUUAAGUCUUUCUU
Molecule: long non-coding RNA, 261 nt
Filed under: Trifolium pratense (red clover)
Lineage: Eukaryota; Viridiplantae; Streptophyta; Magnoliopsida; Fabales; Fabaceae
Description: long non-coding RNA (TPRA_LNC002685)
Source: RNAcentral